Agelaius phoeniceus (red-winged blackbird) is the source of this 416-nucleotide non-coding RNA. NCBI's taxonomy places the organism in Eukaryota, Metazoa, Chordata, Aves, Passeriformes, Icteridae. The record is from RefSeq and is a predicted model, not a curated record.
UCAGCCACCAUUUGCUCACUCAGUGCACGGUGCGGACGGGAGCUCCCUGUGGGGACUCCGCAGGACCCCCCCAGUGUGAUGUUGGGAAAACCGGAGCCCCGGCGGUGUCGGGUGGUGUGUUGGACUGCAAUAGGGGCACCUGCAGAGCGCGUCCGGCCCCGCGUGGGGACCCCAGCGAGGGCAGGGGCGCCGAGCUCCAGCCCUUAGGGCUUUAUUAUUGCCCGGCACCCCGAGCCCCGCGGCUGUGAGGAAAGGAGGGGAGCGGGGAAUGGAGAACGAGAAUAGGGGAGCGGAGGAGUAGGUUACACCAGGUUUUCAGCUACAUGAAUGGUAUCAUCUAUACCCACUGCUCGUUAUUCACCCAACCAAAAUCAAGAGCGAAUGUUGGCUGGGUUUAAUAACAACUCAAAAUAACU